Molecule: non-coding RNA, 213 nt
Organism: Pelobates cultripes (western spadefoot toad)
Lineage: Eukaryota; Metazoa; Chordata; Amphibia; Anura; Pelobatidae
Source: the annotation of a GenBank genome assembly
AUUGAGUGUGUGUAAUGAAUGCAUUGUGUGUUUCUGUGUGUGUAAGGGAUGCAUUGUGUGUAACGGUUGCAUUGCUUGUGUGUUUUUCUGUGUGCAAGGGGUGCAUUGUGUGUAUGUGAUGAAUGUCAAUCUCUCCUCCCGCUCCAAUUUCCUUCUCCUCCUCCCAAUUUCUCUCACCCCCCCUCCUUUCUCUCUCACCCACCUUCUUUUUCU